RNAcentral lists this ribosomal RNA (506 nucleotides) under uncultured bacterium. RNAcentral's name for it is "partial 16S ribosomal RNA". It matches the Rfam family "Bacterial small subunit ribosomal RNA", at positions 29 to 523 of the family's 1533-position model. The record is from RNAcentral.
AGUGAACGCUGGCGGUAGGCCUAACACAUGCAAGUCGAACGGCAGCACAGGAGAGCUUGCUCUCUGGGUGGCGAGUGGCGGACGGGUGAGGAAUACAUCGGAAUCUACUCUGUCGUGAGGGACAACGUAGGGAAACUUACGCUAAUACCGCAUAAGACCUACGGGCGAAAGCAGGGGAGCUUCGGACCUUGCGCGAUUGAAUGAGCCGAUGUCGGAUUAGCUAGUUGGCGGGGUAAAGGCCCACCAAGGCGACGAUCCGUAGCUGGUCUGAGAGGAUGAUCAGCCACACUGGAACUGAGACACGGUCCAGACUCCUACGGGAGGCAGCAGUGGGGAAUAUUGGACAAUGGGCGCAAGCCUGAUCCAGCCAUACCGCGUGGGUGAAGAAGGCCUUCGGGUUGUAAAGCCCUUUUGUUGGGAAAGAAAUCCAGCUGGCUAAUACCCGGUUGGGAUGACGGUACCCAAAGAAUAAGCACCGGCUGACUUCGUGCCAGCCGCCGCGGUAA